Molecule: RNA transcript, 709 nt
Organism: Xiphophorus maculatus (southern platyfish)
Lineage: Eukaryota; Metazoa; Chordata; Actinopteri; Cyprinodontiformes; Poeciliidae
Gene name: troponin T-like
Exons: 3
Source: RefSeq, a predicted model, not a curated record
UAUAAGGAUUUCAAAGAAGACAUGCCAGAUGAGGCCAUUGGUCAGACCAUUGAUGGUGCUUCAAGUCUUGCGAAGGUGGAAUCGCGCUUUCUUACUGUUGGUCCAAGGCGGCUAUUACACGAAAAAGGAGAGAAGGAUGGUUGAGAUCCUGCAGUCGCACUUCAGAGCAGAGGCUUUGAGAUUCCUGGUCAUUCUCUCUGUGGAAAACGGGAAAGUCACCGUCUCUUUGAGAAAUCAAAGAGACGGUGUGUGGAGGACUCGGCCAUGAACACGCUAAAGCAGAAGGCGCAAGAGGCGGAGGAGAAAGAACAGGUUUUUAUGGAGAAGGUGAGAAAAGAGGAGGAGAGAAGAACCAAGGAAAUGGAGGACCUGAAGAUAAGACAUGCAGAGGAAAGAAGGAAGGAGGCAGAGGGAAAAAAACCCCAACAUGAAACGGACAGAGAGAAUAUUCAGCAGGCAAUGAUGAGCCACAGCUCCAUGCUGCAGCUGCAGGCAAAACCGCCUGAUGAGUGAACAACGACGAAUCAACCGGUUAAAGACCUCCGAAGUGGCAGGCGGCCACGAGUUUUCACGGCAUUUAAUAAAGAGCCCGUCUAAAGAAAGCCGUGCCAGUGUUGUCACUUUGGAGCUACAAAGUGAGCUAUUAUUGUUACAGGUACAUUUUCCAAGCUACAGAAGAGGAGUUACGAGGGAUGCAGUCAUUUGAAAG